UGGGGAAUUUUUCGCAAUGGGGGCAACCUGACGAAGCAAUGCCGCGUGGAUGAAGAAGGCCUUCGGGUUGUAAAGUCCUUUCGUGGGGGACGAAAAGGUGGUUCCUAAUACGAACUGCUGUUGACGUGAACCCAAGAAGAAGCACCGGCUAACUCCGUGCCAGCAGCCGCGGUAAUACGGGGGGUGCAGCGUUAAUCGGAAUCACUGGGCGUAAAGGGUGUACGUAGGCGGUACGUUAGGUCUGUCGUGAAAUCCCGGGCUCACCUGGGAAUGGCGGUAGAAACCGGCGCACUAGAGUAUGGGAGAGGGUGGUGGAAUCCAGGUGUAGCGGUGAAAUGCGUAGAGAUCUGGAGGAACAUCAGUGGCGAAGGCGGCCACCUGGCCAAUACUGACGCUGAGGCACGAAAGCGUGGGGAGCAAACA
Molecule: ribosomal RNA, 423 nt
Filed under: uncultured bacterium
Lineage: Bacteria
Description: bacterial SSU rRNA
Rfam family: Bacterial small subunit ribosomal RNA
Source: RNAcentral